Molecule: unclassified non-coding RNA, 337 nt
Filed under: soil metagenome
Description: partial contains 5.8S ribosomal RNA, internal transcribed spacer 2, and large subunit ribosomal RNA
Rfam family: 5.8S ribosomal RNA (bases 1-120)
Source: RNAcentral
GAUGAAGAACGUAGCGAAAUGCGAUAAGUAGUGUGAAUUGCAGAAUUCAGUGAAUCAUCGAAUCUUUGAACGCACAUUGCGCCCCUUGAUAUUCCAUGGGGCAUGCCUGUUCGAGCGUCAUUUGUACCUUCAAGCUCUGCUUGGUGUUGGGUGUUUGUCUCGCCUCUGCGUGUAGACUCGCCUCAAAACAAUUGGCAGCCGGCGUAUUGAUUUCGGAGCGCAGUACAUCUCGCGCUUUGCACUCAUAACGACGACGUCCAAAAGUACAUUUUUACACUCUUGACCUCGGAUCAGGUAGGGAUACCCGCUGAACUUAAGCAUAUCAAUAAGCGGAGGA